GACGAACGCUGGCGGCGUGCCUAAUACAUGCAAGUAGAACGCUGAAGGAGGAGCUUGCUUCUCUGGAUGAGUUGCGAACGGGUGAGUAACGCGUAGGUAACCUGCCUGGUAGCGGGGGAUAACUAUUGGAAACGAUAGCUAAUACCGCAUAAUAGCAGUUGUUGCAUGACAACUGUUUGAAAGGUGCAAUUGCACCACUACCAGAUGGACCUGCGUUGUAUUAGCUAGUUGGUGGGGUAACGGCUCACCAAGGCGACGAUACAUAGCCGACCUGAGAGGGUGAUCGGCCACACUGGGACUGAGACACGGCCCAGACUCCUACGGGAGGCAGCAGUAGGGAAUCUUCGGCAAUGGACGGAAGUCUGACCGAGCAACGCCGCGUGAGUGAAGAAGGUUUUCGGAUCGUAAAGCUCUGUUGUAAGAGAAGAACGAGUGUGAGAGUGGAAAGUUCACACUGUGACGGUAUCUUACCAGAAAGAGACGGCUAACUACGUG
This 495-nucleotide ribosomal RNA is filed under the name uncultured bacterium. RNAcentral describes it as "partial 16S ribosomal RNA". It matches the Rfam family "Bacterial small subunit ribosomal RNA", at positions 28 to 507 of the family's 1533-position model. The record is from RNAcentral.